Rhododendron vialii is the source of this 1581-nucleotide RNA transcript. RefSeq lists it as uncharacterized. The record is from RefSeq and is a predicted model, not a curated record. The transcript is spliced from 4 exons. Lineage: Eukaryota; Viridiplantae; Streptophyta; Magnoliopsida; Ericales; Ericaceae.
UUUCUGGUUUCCCAAAUUCCCAUUGCUCCACGUCCUUUGGGUUGAACAAGCGCGCCACAAACACAAGGACCCCCUUCCCAUCUCUUUUUUUAAAAAAGGACCCCAUUUCUGUAUCUCGGAAUAGCAAACAAACCUUACGAGGCUUUGACGGAAGGUUUCCUUUCGGUUCAAUUUCUUCUUCUUUCCACAUUAAAACUCAAAUUCCAAGAUUCGAAAUUCGUUUCGCACAACUUUAUAAAUUAGUAUCGAUUUUCUUCAACAUCGAAGAAAAUUGGGUUAUAACUGGGUAUCGAAUUCCUUCAAUUUAGGGCAUUUUGUGGGGUGGUGGGUUGUUUGUGGGUUGAUGGAUUGUAGGGUGUGUAGGGGGACCGGAGAAUCGUGGCCGAGGAUGGGCGGAGGGAAGCAGUACGUCGGUGGUGGGUUUAGCCAUGAGAGCGAGCAGGACUUGGGGGCCAUGGUGAGUGAUUUCUUGGAGAAUGGAAGCGGUGGGCCCGACUCCAGGUAUAGCAGCGACAGCGAUUCUGGCCUCUGCGAUCUUGUCCACCUUGCCGACACCAUUUCUUAUUACAAGCUGUCUGCAGAUCAGUAUGAGAGCGACUUGCUAUCGGUGGUCAAUUCUCUCUUGCAGUCUAUCAAGGACACGGAUCUGCACCUCGUCAUGUCUGGUCCAUGUAAUGCAAGCUGCAUCAGGUUUUCUCUGGUGAAGCUUCUGAGGAUUUCUGGUUAUGAUGCUGCUGUUUGUUCAUCUAAGUGGCAGGGUGGUGGGAAAGUCCCUGGAGGGGACCAUGAGUACAUUGACGUGAUCAAUCACAAUGUUUCUGGAAGCUCCGAGCGCUCCAUCAUUGACAUAGACUUUCGCAGCCACUUUGAAAUAGCUAGAGCUGUUAAUUUCUACGACAAAAUACUCAACUCCCUUCCUGUCGUUUAUGUGGGCACCUUAACAAAGCUGAAACAGUUCCUCCAAGUAAUGGUUGAAGCUGCCUCAUUUUCUCUCAAGCAGAACUCAAUGCCUCUUCCCCCGUGGAGGUCUCUUGCUUAUUUGGAAGCAAAGUGGCACUCUCCGUACCAGAGACAGUUUUAUCCAGAUGAAAAGAUAAGCAACCUUCCGUCCGCACAUAAGCAGUGUAGCGGACACUUAAAGAGGCUGCAAUCUCUGCUUCAAUCCGAAAUUGAGGUAGAGCGAGUGCUGAAGCCUAUAAACGGAAAAUAACAGGAGGCUGAAGCUUGAGAGGUGUAGGUACUCUUCAAACAGGGCUCUUUGAGAUGUACAGAAUGUGCAGCACUUCAGUUCCCCUCUAUCUCCGUUUCAUCUCCACCUCGAAGGAGUUAAUUGAUGCUUGAGCCAGAAAAAUGAGCAUGCCCGCGUGGGUUGCUUACCAGCAAUUCCUCUACUGGCAGAUUGAUUUUUUACAUUCGAGUGUAAUUGAUUAAAACUGCGAGCCAAAAUGCUUUUGUAUGUGUGUUUUGCCGACACUACGGGAAGUGUUUUUUUGUGUCAUUAUGCUAUGACUCUCUUUUCCUUGUGAAUGUAAAGAGACUGUUCUGCAUCAAGUGCCUAAUCUAUUGAACCAAAUUGAAUGA